ACUUAAAUUGAAGAGUUUGAUCAUGGCUCAGAUUGAACGCUGGCGGCAGGCCUAACACAUGCAAGUCGAGCGGUAGCACAGAGAGCUUGCUCUCGGGUGACGAGCGGCGGACGGGUGAGUAAUGUCUGGGAAACUGCCUGAUGGAGGGGGAUAACUACUGGAAACGGUAGCUAAUACCGCAUAACGUCGCAAGACCAAAGUGGGGGACCUUCGGGCCUCAUGCCAUCAGAUGUGCCCAGAUGGGAUUAGCUAGUAGGUGGGGUAACGGCUCACCUAGGCGACGAUCCCUAGCUGGUCUGAGAGGAUGACCAGCCACACUGGAACU
RNAcentral lists this ribosomal RNA (325 nucleotides) under Klebsiella pneumoniae. RNAcentral's name for it is "bacterial SSU rRNA". It matches the Rfam family "Bacterial small subunit ribosomal RNA", at positions 1 to 320 of the family's 1533-position model. The record is from RNAcentral. Lineage: Bacteria; Pseudomonadati; Pseudomonadota; Gammaproteobacteria; Enterobacterales; Enterobacteriaceae.